UGCAGUCGAGCGGAACGAUGGGAGCUUGCUCCCAGGCGUCGAGCGGCGGACGGGUGAGUAACACGUGGGAAUCUGCCCAUUAGUGGGGGAUAACUCGGGGAAACUCGAGCUAAUACCGCAUAAUCCCUACGGGGGAAAGCAGGGGAUCUUCGGACCUUGCGCUGAUGGAUGAGCCCGCGUCGGAUUAGCUUGUUGGUGGGGUAAUGGCCCACCAAGGCGACGAUCCGUAACUGGUCUGAGAGGAUGGCCAGUCACACCGGGACUGAGACACGGCCCGGACUCCUACGGGAGGCAGCAGUGGGGAAUCUUGGACAAUGGGCGCAAGCCUGAUCCAGCCAUGCCGCGUGUGUGAAGAAGGCCUUCGGGUUGUAAAGCACUUUCAGUAGGGAGGAAGGCUUUGGGCUAAUACCCUGGAGUACUUGACGUUACCUACAGAAGAAGCACCGGCUAAUUUCGUGCCAGCAGCCGCGGUAAUACGAAAGGUGCGAGCGUUAAUCGGAAUUACUGGGCGUAAAGCGCGCGUAGGCGGUGUGUUAAGUCGGAUGUGAAAGCCCAGGGCUCAACCUUGGAAUUGCAUCCGAUACUGGCACGCUAGAGUGCAGUAGAGGGAGGUGGAAUUUCCGGUGUAGCGGUGAAAUGCGUAGAGAUCGGAAGGAACACCAGUGGCGAAGGCGGCCUCCUGGACUGACACUGACGCUGAGGUGCGAAAGCGUGGGGAGCAAACAGGAUUAGAUACCCUGGUAGUCCACGCCGUAAACGAUGUCUACUAGCCGUUGGGGUCCUUAGUGACUUUGGUGGCGCAGCUAACGCGAUAAGUAGACCGCCUGGGGAGUACGGCCGCAAGGUUAAAACUCAAAUGAAUUGACGGGGGCCCGCACAAGCGGUGGAG
Molecule: ribosomal RNA, 889 nt
Filed under: Alcanivorax sp. MBTD_CMFRI_Av01
Lineage: Bacteria; Pseudomonadati; Pseudomonadota; Gammaproteobacteria; Oceanospirillales; Alcanivoracaceae
Description: bacterial SSU rRNA
Rfam family: Bacterial small subunit ribosomal RNA
Source: RNAcentral